GGGUGACGAAGCGACGCCGCGUGGGUGAAGAAGGCCUUCGGGUUGUAAAGCCCUGUCAGGAGUUAUGAAAUGUAAGUGCGCUAAUAUCGUGCUUAUUUGACAAAGGCUCCAAAGGAAGCCACGGCUAACUCUGUGCCAGCAGCCGCGGUAAUACAGAGGUGGCGAGCGUUGUUCGGAAUUAUUGGGCGUAAAGAGCACGUAGGUGGGUUUGCAGGUCAGAUGUGAAAGCCUUCUGUUCAACGGAAGAAUUGCAUCUGAAACUGCUAAUCUUGAGUAUAGGAGGGGAGAAUGGAACUUCUGGUGGAGCGGUGAAAUGCGUAGAUAUCAGAAGGAACGCCGGCGGCGAAAGCGAUUCUCUGGCCUAUUACUGACACUCAGUGUGCGAAAGCUAGGGGAGCAAACGGGAUUAGAUACCCCGGUAGUCCUAGCCGUAAACGAUGGGCACUAAGUAGAGG
RNAcentral lists this ribosomal RNA (455 nucleotides) under uncultured anaerobic ammonium-oxidizing bacterium. RNAcentral describes it as "bacterial SSU rRNA". It matches the Rfam family "Bacterial small subunit ribosomal RNA", at positions 381 to 826 of the family's 1533-position model. The record is from RNAcentral.